CUGACCACCCCGCCUGGCCAGCGUGACCUGGCUGGAGCCCUGGGGGUCGGGGAGGUUGUCCCCGGUGGCCCUGGGACUGCCCGGCCUGCCAUGGCUGGGGGCCGGCGCCCCC
Ceratotherium simum simum (southern white rhinoceros) is the source of this 112-nucleotide non-coding RNA. Lineage: Eukaryota; Metazoa; Chordata; Mammalia; Perissodactyla; Rhinocerotidae. The record is from RefSeq and is a predicted model, not a curated record.